CAAAGUACAGCUAAAGUAGAAAAGUAUCUCCCUUACACUGAGAAGACAUCCGUGCAAAUCGGAUUACUUUGA
This 72-nucleotide transfer RNA is filed under the name Sphaerichthys vaillanti. RNAcentral describes it as "tRNA-Val". It matches the Rfam family "tRNA". From Rfam's summary of the family: Transfer RNA (tRNA) molecules are approximately 80 nucleotides in length. Their secondary structure includes four short double-helical elements and three loops (D, anti-codon, and T loops). Further hydrogen bonds mediate the characteristic L-shaped molecular structure. tRNAs have two regions of fundamental functional importance: the anti-codon, which is responsible for specific mRNA codon recognition, and the 3' end, to which the tRNAs corresponding amino acid is attached (by aminoacyl-tRNA synthetases). tRNAs cope with the degeneracy of the genetic code in two manners: having more than one tRNA (with a specific anti-codon) for a particular amino acid; and 'wobble' base-pairing, i.e. permitting non-standard base-pairing at the 3rd anti-codon position. The record is from RNAcentral. Lineage: Eukaryota; Metazoa; Chordata; Actinopteri; Anabantiformes; Osphronemidae.